Molecule: long non-coding RNA, 711 nt
Organism: Gracilinanus agilis (Agile Gracile Mouse Opossum)
Lineage: Eukaryota; Metazoa; Chordata; Mammalia; Didelphimorphia; Didelphidae
Exons: 4
Source: RefSeq, a predicted model, not a curated record
CGCGCAGCUUGACAGUUCUUUUUCUGUGGACUACAGCUCCCACGUUGCUUAGGGUUGCACGAGGCUGAGAGUAUUGUACUAAUGUAAGAAUUGGUCAUCAUAGUCUUCAUCCUUCAUUCCUUUGAGCCGAAGCCUGGCGAAGUCCUCAAACACAAUGUCAUCAUCUGUGCCAUAGCUGGGGAAGGAAGUGAGGGAGGGCAUGAGACAGCAGCUCCAGGUUUCCCCACCUCUCCAACCAAAAGAGAGAGAGAAGCAAGAGUGCUGCUGGCAUCACAGACAACAUGAAGAUUUAGCAGUGAUGGUGGGACUGAGCUGCUGGGAAGCCUCUUCACUAAGCCAGAAGCUGAAAUAAGGGUACUAAAUGAGAGGCUGUAAUAGAGACCAUCUGGGAUUUCAAUCUAUGGCCCACUGUCUGCCUGAGGGGAAAGAAGAUAAUCCCUCUGAUAUACCUCAACUUGGCAGUUGCUGAAAUCAAGAUUGUUGUGACAACAACCCUAUGAGUUCUAAAUUUUAUGAUCCUGUCAUCUUAAGAGGCCCCAGGAUGGUAUCUACCUGGAUGCUGGUUACUGGGGCAAAAGCCCUUGCCCAGGAGAGAAUUCUGGGUCCAACUUUGAGAGCCGGUACUAUUUUUCGUUUGUGAUUUUGUAUCUAUCAGCUCUGAGCAUAAUGCUUUAUGGCAUAAAGGAGCUUAAUAAACAUUUAUUGAGUUGA